Molecule: long non-coding RNA, 1224 nt
Filed under: Nicotiana tabacum (common tobacco)
Lineage: Eukaryota; Viridiplantae; Streptophyta; Magnoliopsida; Solanales; Solanaceae
Description: long non-coding RNA (NTAB_LNC011808)
Source: RNAcentral
CUUAACCUAAAACCCUACCACUAACCUAGACCUAUAUAUAUUAAACAAAGCCUAAAAUUAAAGGGGGGAUCAACACAAAUAGAGAGGGAGGAGAACGACAAAAAGCAACAGAAAAAGCUGCGCAUAGAGAAAAAAAGAAAGCUAAGAAAAGCUGCGCACAGAAUGACCCACCCUCUGACUUCGUCUUCUCCAAACGACCCUCCCUGAAGCUUCUGCUUCUUUGAACUCACCUUCACGCAAGCCUUAACCAGCCAUACUCUAUCGUCUCCAUUACCUCACACAUCACCCGGAACACAAACGCACACACAACGCCCCAGUGACAACGACCACACCAGCCGUCCCACCACCAUAAUCGUCGGUAAAUCCCCAUUGAUGGCGAGCUUCUUAAAAGCUUCACUGUUAUACUCAAAAUGAGCAGAUCUAGAGCAACAAAACACACACACUUCUCCUCUGCUGAUUUUCUUUCUCUUUGAUUUCGAUUCGAUUUUUGGUUUCAAAUUCAUGGAAUUCAUUUGUGUUUGAAAGUUGUUUUGCAUUCUGGUUGGUUCAAGGUCUUGGGUCGUCAUUGUUCGUCGAGGUUCGGAAUGGUGGUUCGCAGCUUCGGAUGAUUUUGAUCGCUGUUUUGGAUUCGAUUGGGGCUUUGGUUUAUUGACACCCUUGUAACUGUUGGAAUUCUCAUUAAUCAAAGGCAAAAUUUCAAUUCGUGGCAGUUUCGGUUCAAAUCGGGCCUUUACCUGGGUCAAAAAUUCUGAUGUUCUCUACUAUAGGUAUGUAGAAAUGUACCUAUUGUCCUGUACUUUGUUUUGUGGUUGCUGGCUAGUGUGAAUUUCGAUUUUGCAAAUAAUUACAUUGUUGUUUUCAUCUGCUCCGGUAUAUUUGUUUGCAUAGAUAGUGCAUCCAUUUGUUUCUCUUUUCAGAACUGUCUACGACUAUAUGUUGUUGCUGAAUAGACUUUAAUUAGCUGAGAAAAGGGAGGAAACUUGAUGUUACAGUUGUUAGUUUGGCGUGAACCAUGGAUGACAUAGCUCUUGUAUCUUUAUUGUAAAAAUAUAUCUUGGAAGCCAACUCCAAACGGAAUGAAUGUUGCAUAGGGUCCUGUAUCUUAGCUAACUAUAUUACUGGAGACAAAGCAUGUCAACCGUGUGUAUAUAUAUAUAUAUAUAUAUUACUUAAUCCCUUUAGUUAACCCAAUAACCUUUGAAUAUUGUAUUCACAAGAUUUGGU